AGGGUAUAGCUCAGUGGUAGAGCACAUGCUUAGCAUGCACAAAGUCCUGGGUUCAAUCCCCAGUACCUCUG
This 71-nucleotide transfer RNA is filed under the name Camelus bactrianus (Bactrian camel). It matches the Rfam family "tRNA". Rfam says of the family: Transfer RNA (tRNA) molecules are approximately 80 nucleotides in length. Their secondary structure includes four short double-helical elements and three loops (D, anti-codon, and T loops). RNAcentral also lists the same sequence under 2 other names. Lineage: Eukaryota; Metazoa; Chordata; Mammalia; Artiodactyla; Camelidae. The record is from Rfam by way of RNAcentral.